CUUUCGGGAAUGGAAAUGAAAUGAAAGUGGCGAACGGGUGAGUAACACGUGAGCAACCUACCUUACACAGGGGGAUAGCCGUUGGAAACGACGAUUAAUACCGCAUGAGACCACAGAAUCGCAUGAUAUAGGGGUCAAAGAUUUAUCGGUGUAAGAAGGGCUCGCGUCUGAUUAGCUAGUUGGAAGGGUAAAGGCCUACCAAGGCGACGAUCAGUAGCCGGUCUGAGAGGAUGAACGGCCACAUUGGAACUGAGACACGGUCCAAACUCCUACGGGAGGCAGCAGUGGGGAAUAUUGCACAAUGGGGGGAACCCUGAUGCAGCGACGCCGCGUGAGCGAAGAAGGUUUUCGAAUCGUAAAGCUCUGUCCUAUGAGAAGAUAAUGACGGUAUCAUAGGAGGAAGCCCCGGCUAAAUACGUGCCAGCAGCCGCGGUAAUACGUAUGGGGCGAGCGUUGUCCGGAAUUAUUGGGCGUAAAGGGUACGUAGGCGGUUUUUUAAGUCAGGUGUGAAAGCGUGAGGCUUAACCUCAUUAAGCACUUGAAACUGGAAGACUUGAGUGAAGGAGAGGAAAGUGGAAUUCCUAGUGUAGCGGUGAAAUGCGUAGAUAUUAGGAGGAUACCGGUGGCGAAGCGACUUUCUGGACUUUUACU
RNAcentral lists this ribosomal RNA (651 nucleotides) under uncultured Bacillota bacterium. RNAcentral's name for it is "bacterial SSU rRNA". It matches the Rfam family "Bacterial small subunit ribosomal RNA", at positions 73 to 741 of the family's 1533-position model. Lineage: Bacteria; Bacillati; Bacillota. The record is from RNAcentral.